Molecule: ribosomal RNA, 253 nt
Filed under: uncultured bacterium
Lineage: Bacteria
Description: partial 16S ribosomal RNA
Rfam family: Bacterial small subunit ribosomal RNA
Source: RNAcentral
UACAGAGGUCCCAAGCGUUGUUCGGAUUCACUGGGCGUAAAAGGUGCGUAGGUGGUGAGGUAAGUCGGAUGUGAAAGCUCGGAGCUCAACUCCGAAAUGGCAUUGGAAACUACCUUGCUCGAGGGUUGGAGGGGGGACUGGAAUACUUGGUGUAGCAGUGAAAUGCGUAGAUAUCAAGUGGAACACCAGUGGCGAAGGCGAGUCCCUGGACAACUCCUGACACUGAGGCACGAAAGCUAGGGGAGCAAACAGG